GACGAACGCUGGCGGCGUGCUUAACACAUGCAAGUCGAACGGACAGGCUCCAGCUUUCUUCAUUACUCGAUUGCCGCACGCGUGUGUAACACAUGUGUGAUCUCCCCUUCACUUCGUGAUAUGCCUUCGAAACUGGGUCUCAUAUCCGAUAGAACCUCUUUUUGGUGUUUGUUGUGUAAAGGUUUUCCUUGUUUCGGUUGAGUUUGCAUCCUACCAGUUUGUUGGUGGGGUAAUGGCCUACCAAGACGGCCACGGGUAGCCGGCCUGAGAGGGUGGACGGUGACAUUGGGACUGAGGGAAGGCCCAGAUAGCUAAGGGAGGGAACAGUGGGGAAGAUUGAACAAUGGGGGAAGCGCUGAUGAAGAGAGGCUGCGUGGGGGAUGAAGGCCUUCGGGGUGUAAAAUACUUUCGCUAGGGACGAAGCUUUUUGUGACGGUACCUGGAGAAGAAGCACCGGCUAACUACGUG
Molecule: ribosomal RNA, 468 nt
Filed under: uncultured bacterium
Lineage: Bacteria
Description: partial 16S ribosomal RNA
Rfam family: Bacterial small subunit ribosomal RNA
Source: RNAcentral